Molecule: ribosomal RNA, 2905 nt
Filed under: Salmonella enterica subsp. enterica serovar Heidelberg
Lineage: Bacteria; Pseudomonadati; Pseudomonadota; Gammaproteobacteria; Enterobacterales; Enterobacteriaceae
Description: bacterial LSU rRNA
Rfam family: Bacterial large subunit ribosomal RNA
Source: RNAcentral
UUAAGCGACUAAGCGUACACGGUGGAUGCCCUGGCAGUCAGAGGCGAUGAAGGGCGUGCUAAUCUGCGAUAAGCGCCGGUAAGGUGAUAUGAACCGUUAUAACCGGCGAUACCCGAAUGGGGAAACCCAGUGUGACUCGUCACACUAUCAUUAACUGAAUCCAUAGGUUAAUGAGGCGAACCGGGGGAACUGAAACAUCUAAGUACCCCGAGGAAAAGAAAUCAACCGAGAUUCCCCCAGUAGCGGCGAGCGAACGGGGAGGAGCCCAGAGCCUGAAUCAGCAUGUGUGUUAGUGGAAGCGUCUGGAAAGGCGCGCGAUACAGGGUGACAGCCCCGUACACAAAAGCGCAUGUGCUGUGAGCUCGAUGAGUAGGGCGGGACACGUGGUAUCCUGUCUGAAUAUGGGGGGACCAUCCUCCAAGGCUAAAUACUCCUGACUGACCGAUAGUGAACCAGUACCGUGAGGGAAAGGCGAAAAGAACCCCGGCGAGGGGAGUGAAAAAGAACCUGAAACCGUGUACGUACAAGCAGUGGGAGCACCCUUUGGGGUGUGACUGCGUACCUUUUGUAUAAUGGGUCAGCGACUUAUAUUCUGUAGCAAGGUUAACCGUAUAGGGGAGCCGUAGGGAAACCGAGUCUUAACCGGGCGUUAAGUUGCAGGGUAUAGACCCGAAACCCGGUGAUCUAGCCAUGGGCAGGUUGAAGGUUGGGUAACACUAACUGGAGGACCGAACCGACUAAUGUUGAAAAAUUAGCGGAUGACCUGUGGCUGGGGGUGAAAGGCCAAUCAAACCGGGAGAUAGCUGGUUCUCCCCGAAAGCUAUUUAGGUAGCGCCUCGUGAAUUCAUCUCCGGGGGUAGAGCACUGUUUCGGCUAGGGGGCCAUCCCGGCUUACCAACCCGAUGCAAACUGCGAAUACCGGAGAAUGUUAUCACGGGAGACACACGGCGGGUGCUAACGUCCGUCGUGAAGAGGGAAACAACCCAGACCGCCAGCUAAGGUCCCAAAGUCAUGGUUAAGUGGGAAACGAUGUGGGAAGGCCCAGACAGCCAGGAUGUUGGCUUAGAAGCAGCCAUCAUUUAAAGAAAGCGUAAUAGCUCACUGGUCGAGUCGGCCUGCGCGGAAGAUGUAACGGGGCUAAACCAUGCACCGAAGCUGCGGCAGCGACGCUUAUGCGUUGUUGGGUAGGGGAGCGUUCUGUAAGCCUGUGAAGGUGGCCUGUGAGGGUUGCUGGAGGUAUCAGAAGUGCGAAUGCUGACAUAAGUAACGAUAAAGCGGGUGAAAAGCCCGCUCGCCGGAAGACCAAGGGUUCCUGUCCAACGUUAAUCGGGGCAGGGUGAGUCGACCCCUAAGGCGAGGCCGAAAGGCGUAGUCGAUGGGAAACGGGUUAAUAUUCCCGUACUUGGUGUUACUGCGAAGGGGGGACGGAGAAGGCUAUGUUGGCCGGGCGACGGUUGUCCCGGUUUAAGCGUGUAGGUGUGUGUUCCAGGUAAAUCCGGUUCACUUUAACACUGAGGCGUGACGACGAGGCACUACGGUGCUGAAGCAACAAAUGCCCUGCUUCCAGGAAAAGCCUCUAAGCAUCAGGUAACAUCAAAUCGUACCCCAAACCGACACAGGUGGUCAGGUAGAGAAUACCAAGGCGCUUGAGAGAACUCGGGUGAAGGAACUAGGCAAAAUGGUGCCGUAACUUCGGGAGAAGGCACGCUGACACGUAGGUGAAGUGAUUUACUCAUGGAGCUGAAGUCAGUCGAAGAUACCAGCUGGCUGCAACUGUUUAUUAAAAACACAGCACUGUGCAAACACGAAAGUGGACGUAUACGGUGUGACGCCUGCCCGGUGCCGGAAGGUUAAUUGAUGGGGUCAGCGCAAGCGAAGCUCCUGAUCGAAGCCCCGGUAAACGGCGGCCGUAACUAUAACGGUCCUAAGGUAGCGAAAUUCCUUGUCGGGUAAGUUCCGACCUGCACGAAUGGCGUAAUGAUGGCCAGGCUGUCUCCACCCGAGACUCAGUGAAAUUGAACUCGCUGUGAAGAUGCAGUGUACCCGCGGCAAGACGGAAAGACCCCGUGAACCUUUACUAUAGCUUGACACUGAACAUUGAGCCUUGAUGUGUAGGAUAGGUGGGAGGCUUUGAAGUGUGGACGCCAGUCUGCAUGGAGCCGACCUUGAAAUACCACCCUUUAAUGUUUGAUGUUCUAACGUGGACCCGUAAUCCGGGUUGCGGACAGUGUCUGGUGGGUAGUUUGACUGGGGCGGUCUCCUCCUAAAGAGUAACGGAGGAGCACGAAGGUUGGCUAAUCCUGGUCGGACAUCAGGAGGUUAGUGCAAUGGCAUAAGCCAGCUUGACUGCGAGCGUGACGGCGCGAGCAGGUGCGAAAGCAGGUCAUAGUGAUCCGGUGGUUCUGAAUGGAAGGGCCAUCGCUCAACGGAUAAAAGGUACUCCGGGGAUAACAGGCUGAUACCGCCCAAGAGUUCAUAUCGACGGCGGUGUUUGGCACCUCGAUGUCGGCUCAUCACAUCCUGGGGCUGAAGUAGGUCCCAAGGGUAUGGCUGUUCGCCAUUUAAAGUGGUACGCGAGCUGGGUUUAGAACGUCGUGAGACAGUUCGGUCCCUAUCUGCCGUGGGCGCUGGAGAACUGAGGGGGGGCUGCUCCUAGUACGAGAGGACCGGAGUGGACGCAUCACUGGUGUUCGGGUUGUCAUGCCAAUGGCACUGCCCGGUAGCUAAAUGCGGAAGAGAUAAGUGCUGAAAGCAUCUAAGCACGAAACUUGCCCCGAGAUGAGUUCUCCCUGAGACUUAAAGUCUCCUGAAGGAACGUUGAAGACGACGACGUUGAUAGGCCGGGUGUGUAAGCGCAGCGAUGCGUUGAGCUAACCGGUACUAAUGAACCGUGAGGCUUAACCUU